This is a non-coding RNA of Podarcis lilfordi (Lilford's wall lizard), 124 nucleotides long. The record is from the annotation of a GenBank genome assembly. NCBI's taxonomy places the organism in Eukaryota, Metazoa, Chordata, Lepidosauria, Squamata, Lacertidae.
AUAAUCAUAGCUCAGUCGGUAGAGCAUGAGACUAUAAAAGGGACACGGGUGGCGCUGUGGGUUAAACCACAAAGCCUAGGACUUGCCGAUCAGAAGGUCGGCGGUUCGAAUCCCCGUGACGGGG